RNAcentral lists this ribosomal RNA (255 nucleotides) under uncultured bacterium. RNAcentral's name for it is "partial 16S ribosomal RNA". It matches the Rfam family "Bacterial small subunit ribosomal RNA", at positions 524 to 777 of the family's 1533-position model. The record is from RNAcentral.
UACAGAGGGUGCGAGCGUUAAUCGGAAUUACUGGGCGUAAAGCGUGCGUAGACGGUAGCGUAAGUCAGAUGUGAAAGCCCCGGGCUCAACCUGGGAAUUGCAUUUGAGACUGCUCUGCUCGGGUGCGGAAGAGGGAAGCGGAAUUUCCGGUGUAGCGGUGAAAUGCGUAGAUAUCGGAAGGAACACCAGUGGCGAAAGCGGCUUCCUGGUCCGACACCGACGUUCAGGCACGAAAAGCGUGGGGAGCAAACAGGG